GUAGGGAAUAUUGCGCAAUGGACGAAAGUCUGACGCAGCGACGCCGCGUGAGUGAUGAAGGCCUUAGGGUCGUAAAGCUCUGUUGAAUGGGAAGAAAAAAAUGACGGUACCAUUCGAGGAAGGACCGGCUAACUUCGUGCCAGCAGCCGCGGUAAUACGAGGGGUCCUAGCGUUGUUCGGAAUCAUUGGGCGUAAAGGGUGUGUAGGUGGCCAUGUAAGUCAGGUGUGAAAGCACCGGGCUCAACCCGGGAAGUGCACUUGAUACUGCGUGGCUUGAGUACCGGAAAGGGUAGUGGAAUUCCAGGUGUAGUGGUGAAAUACGUAGAUAUCUGGAGGAACACCGGUGGCGAAGGCGGCUACCUGGUCGAGUACUGACACUGAGACACGAAAGCAUGGGGAUCAAACAGGUUUAGAAACCCUAGUAGUCC
RNAcentral lists this ribosomal RNA (428 nucleotides) under uncultured bacterium. RNAcentral's name for it is "partial 16S ribosomal RNA". It matches the Rfam family "Bacterial small subunit ribosomal RNA", at positions 354 to 796 of the family's 1533-position model. The record is from RNAcentral.